RNAcentral lists this ribosomal RNA (1017 nucleotides) under uncultured organism. RNAcentral's name for it is "bacterial SSU rRNA". It matches the Rfam family "Bacterial small subunit ribosomal RNA", at positions 356 to 1376 of the family's 1533-position model. The record is from RNAcentral.
GAGGAAUAUUGGUCAAUGGACGAGAGUCUGAACCAGCCAAGUAGCGUGAAGGAUGACUGCCCUAUGGGUUGUAAACUUCUUUUAUACGGGAAUAAAGUGAGGCACGUGUGCCUUUUUGUAUGUACCGUAUGAAUAAGGAUCGGCUAACUCCGUGCCAGCAGCCGCGGUAAUACGGAGGAUCCGAGCGUUAUCCGGAUUUAUUGGGUUUAAAGGGAGCGUAGGCGGACGCUUAAGUCAGUUGUGAAAGUUUGCGGCUCAACCGUAAAAUUGCAGUUGAUACUGGGUGUCUUGAGUACAGUAGAGGCAGGCGGAAUUCGUGGUGUAGCGGUGAAAUGCUUAGAUAUCACGAAGAACUCCGAUUGCGAAGGCAGCUUGCUGGACUGUAACUGACGCUGAUGCUCGAAAGUGUGGGUAUCAAACAGGAUUAGAUACCCUGGUAGUCCACACAGUAAACGAUGAAUACUCGCUGUUUGCGAUAUACAGUAAGCGGCCAAGCGAAAGCGUUAAGUAUUCCACCUGGGGAGUACGCCGGCAACGGUGAAACUCAAAGGAAUUGACGGGGGCCCGCACAAGCGGAGGAACAUGUGAUUUAAUUCGAUGAUACGCGAGGAACCUUACCCGGGCUUGAAUUGCAACUGAAUGAUGUGGAGACAUGUCAGCCGCAAGGCAGUUGUGAAGGUGCUGCAUGGUUGUCGUCAGCUCGUGCCGUGAGGUGUCGGCUUAAGUGCCAUAACGAGCGCAACCCUUAUCGAUAGUUACCAUCAGGUUAUGCUGGGGACUCUGUCGAGACUGCCGUCGUAAGAUGUGAGGAAGGUGGGGAUGACGUCAAAUCAGCACGGCCCUUACGUCCGGGGCUACACACGUGUUACAAUGGGGGGUACAGAAGGCAGCUACACGGCGACGUGAUGCUAAUCCCGAAAGCCUCUCUCAGUUCGGAUUGGAGUCUGCAACCCGACUCCAUGAAGCUGGAUUCGCUAGUAAUCGCGCAUCAGCCACGGCGCGGUGAAUACGUUCCCG